GCACAAUAGAAGAAGUUAUAGACAAUGGAAGUUUGGUGCAAAUCCAACGCGGUCCCGCCACUGUAAUAGGCCGAUGAGCUCGGUCUUAAGUCAGGUCUUUUGUCUAGUAACUUUGCCAGGCCAGUCAUUUCGAGGCGAAAGUGACUGGUUUAC
Molecule: small RNA, 153 nt
Filed under: Paenibacillus alvei
Lineage: Bacteria; Bacillati; Bacillota; Bacilli; Caryophanales; Paenibacillaceae
Source: RNAcentral